Molecule: ribosomal RNA, 492 nt
Filed under: uncultured bacterium
Lineage: Bacteria
Description: partial 16S ribosomal RNA
Rfam family: Bacterial small subunit ribosomal RNA
Source: RNAcentral
AGUGAACGCUGGCGGUAGGCCUAACACAUGCAAGUCGAACGGCAGCACAGUAAGAGCUUGCUCUUACGGGUGGCGAGUGGCGGACGGGUGAGGAAUACAUCGGAAUCUACUUUUUCGUGGGGGAUAACGUAGGGAAACUUACGCUAAUACCGCAUACGACCUACGGGUGAAAGCAGGGGAUCUUCGGACCUUGCGCGAUUGAAUGAGCCGAUGUCGGAUUAGCUAGUUGGCGGGGUAAAGGCCCACCAAGGCGACGAUCCGUAGCUGGUCUGAGAGGAUGAUAAGCCACCCUGGAACUGUGACACGGUCCAGACUCCUACGGGAGGCAGCAGUGGGGAAUAUUGGACAAUGGGCGCAAGCCUGAUCCAGCCAUACCGCGUGGGUGAAGAAGGCCUUCGGGUUGUAAAGCCCUUUUGUUGGGAAAGAAAAGCAGCAGGUUAAUACCCCGCUGUUAUGACGGUACCCAAAGAAUAAGCACCGGCUAACUUCGUG